Molecule: ribosomal RNA, 274 nt
Filed under: uncultured bacterium
Lineage: Bacteria
Description: partial 16S ribosomal RNA
Rfam family: Bacterial small subunit ribosomal RNA
Source: RNAcentral
AUACGGAGGGUGCAAGCGUUACUCGGAAUCACAGGGCGUAAAGGACGCGUAGGCGGGUUGGCAAGUCAGAUGUGAAAUCCUACAGCUUAACUGUAGAACUGCAUUUGAAACUGCUAACCUAGAGUAUGGGUGGGGGAGAUGGAAUUAGUGGUGUAGGGGUAAAAUCCGUAGAUAUCACUAGGAAUACCGAAAGCGAAGGCGAUUUCCUGGAACAUAACUGACGCUAAGGCGUGAAAGCGUGGGGAGCAAACAGGAUUAGAAACCCUAGUAGUCC